Molecule: long non-coding RNA, 734 nt
Organism: Lagopus leucura (white-tailed ptarmigan)
Lineage: Eukaryota; Metazoa; Chordata; Aves; Galliformes; Phasianidae
Exons: 8
Source: RefSeq, a predicted model, not a curated record
GGAGUGCUGCAUAGACGGAGAUCUUCAUGAGUUGGGUUUUGUUUUGUGCCCAGACCGAGCGUGGAUUGAUAACGUAUGCUAGUAAGAAUCGCUUGUGAUGUAACACCAGUUCCUGAAGUCAGAGUGAGAAGCGUUAGCACAAGCAGUGGCGUUUGUUUGUUUGGCUGAAAAGAAGGACUGAAGCUGUUCCGGGAUUUCAUCAUACCUUCUGGAAACCAAGUGUAUUCUGUGAAGUCUGAUAAAAAGAAACUGACACCUGUUAGGCCAUGAAGCACAAGCAGUAUCAGAAGAAAAUUCCAAAGUAGCCAUGCAAAGUAGCCAUGAGUAUUUUGUCCUGAACUGACUAACACUCAGAUGUUAUCUGAAUGUUGGAAGAAACCAUUUAAAAGAAAAAUCUUUACAAGCAAUUAUGCAUGCUGAUGCAAUCUACAUAGCAUACAGAAGAUUAUGGAGCUACAGAGAGAACAGAAAUUGUGGAUUGAGAGUAGAGCAUUGUUUAAAACUUCAUGGAUUGUUACCUGCAUUUCAAGCUCUAAAAUGUGAACAAGAAGUCUACCUACUAGUAACUACCUUACUAUAAGAAUUCUUUCAUAAAUGGAUGCACCUGAGGAAGAGUCUGAAGAAGGAAGUAUGCUCAGAAGACAGAAUUAGAACCUAAAAAGAUACCAUGACUUAUAGAAGCCUGACUGUUAAGACUGAAUUACAGAUACUCAUACAAUUGAAAACAAAUAAGC